ACGCACGCUGGCGGCGUGCUUAACACAUGCAAGUCGCACGGAAAGGCCCUGCUUGCCGGGUACUCGAGUGGCGAACGGGUGAGUAACACGUGGGUGAUCUGCCCUGCACUUCGGGAUAAGCCUGGGAAACUGGGUCUAAUACCGGAUAGGAGCCAUUUUUAGUGUGAUGGUUGGAAAGUUUUUUCGGUGUAGGAUGAGCUCGCGGCCUAUCAGCUUGUUGGUGGGGUAAUGGCCUACCAAGGCGGCGACGGGUAGCCGGCCUGAGAGGGUGGACGGCCACAUUGGGACUGAGAUACGGCCCAGACUCCUACGGGAGGCAGCAGUGGGGAAUAUUGCACAAUGGGCGCAAGCCUGAUGCAGCGACGCCGCGUGGGGGAGGACGGCCUUCGGGUUGUAAACUCCUUUCGCUAGGGACGAAGCUUUUUGUGACGGUACCUAGAGAAGAAGCACCGGCUAACUACGUG
Molecule: ribosomal RNA, 464 nt
Filed under: uncultured bacterium
Lineage: Bacteria
Description: partial 16S ribosomal RNA
Rfam family: Bacterial small subunit ribosomal RNA
Source: RNAcentral